CCUGCUCCUCAUCCUCUGUCCUUCCUCCCCUGCCAUUUAUCGGGGGGAGCCCAGCCCUAACGAGCAUCCCUUGUCCAGGGGAAGGAGCCCCCUUGCCUUCUCUGGGCUCCCCAGGGGAUGUUUUGGGCAGGCCCACCAUACGACACAGGCUGAGUGCUGCCUUUGACAACCCUCAAGGAAAAAGCUUUCCCCAAAAAAACCAUUGAAGAGACUGUUUCAGUUUCAGCAUAUUCAAGGCACAGCCAAUUAAUCACCUUAAACACCCUCACCUCCGCCUGCUGCGCGGUGCCGGCGUGCCUCGGUUUAUCGGAUACCUGCGGCUGCCUGGCUUCAAGCUCUGGCACUGCCCUGCUCACACCAAAACGCUGUUAGGUUUGGUGACGUGCUGGUAGGAAGAAGGAAGAAACCUCCUGCAGCGGCGUCCUGCUGAGGGAGGCACCGGCUGUGGAGAAGGGCAGUUCCCGGACUCAUUUCCUCCUCACCUGCCCCGUUUUCAGGCGUCUUCUUGUAAAAAUAACGCCCCGUUAAUUCAUCUUCGCUCCCCUCUUCUAGAGGUGCGUGCUGCUGGAGUCGGGGGAGGAAGAAAGCAUCCUGCAGGCAUCCUCUCCCCGCUGAUUUUAUCAGCUUCUCGUCCUGACAGCUGCUGCGGCAUUGGGGUUGGACGCCCGAGCUCUGCAUGUUCGUUCAGGCAUCGUGGCGAGGGGCGGACAGCUUUGGAUUUGAAAUUCUGGGCAGCAGUGAAAGCAGGCUGAUGGAUAACGCUAAGGAAUAAGCAAUGCUUCGUCUCCUGCUCAAAACUCCAGAGCUCGGAGCCAUUUGUGUGCUGAGCCCACGCACGGCUUUGCAGGGAUGCCAAAGUCCUGCGGCUGCCUCCAAGCUGCCACGAGCACAAUUUGCACCUCACCUCGGGUGGCUCCAGUCCCCAGGCAGGGUGUGAAAUUUGGGGAGUGGAAAGUGCCCCAAGGAGGUGCGGGCUGGGAGUUAUCGAUGGAGAUGGCAAGGGUCUCCUUGGGCUGUGCGUGAAACGUGACCUGGUUCUGACAAA
Molecule: long non-coding RNA, 1045 nt
Filed under: Anser cygnoides (Swan goose)
Lineage: Eukaryota; Metazoa; Chordata; Aves; Anseriformes; Anatidae
Description: lncRNA (ENSACDG00005010826.1)
Source: RNAcentral